GAUGAACGCUGGCGGCGUGCUUAACACAUGCAAGUCGAACGGAGUGCCUUUGAAAGAGGAUUCGUCCAAUUGAUAAGGUUACUUAGUGGCGGACGGGUGAGUAACGCGUGAGGAACCUGCCUUGGAGUGGGGAAUAACACAGUGAAAAUUGUGCUAAUACCGCAUAAUGCAGUUGGGCCGCAUGGCUCUGACUGCCAAAGAUUUAUCGCUCUGAGAUGGCCUCGCGUCUGAUUAGCUAGUUGGUAAGGUAACGGCUUACCAAGGCAACGAUCAGUAGCCGACCUGAGAGGGUGACCGGCCACAUUGGGACUGAGACACGGCCCAA
Molecule: ribosomal RNA, 325 nt
Filed under: uncultured bacterium
Lineage: Bacteria
Description: bacterial SSU rRNA
Rfam family: Bacterial small subunit ribosomal RNA
Source: RNAcentral